Molecule: ribosomal RNA, 497 nt
Filed under: uncultured bacterium
Lineage: Bacteria
Description: partial 16S ribosomal RNA
Rfam family: Bacterial small subunit ribosomal RNA
Source: RNAcentral
GAUGAACGCUGGCGGCGUGCCUAAUACAUGCAAGUCGAGCGAACAGACGAGGAGCUUGCUCCUCUGACGUUAGCGGCGGACGGGUGAGUAACACGUGGAUAACCUACCUAUAAGACUGGGAUAACUUCGGGAAACCGGAGCUAAUACCGGAUAAUAUAUUGAACCGCAUGGUUCAAUAGUGAAAGACGGUUUUGCUGUCACUUAUAGAUGGAUCCGCGCCGCAUUAGCUAGUUGGUAAGGUAACGGCUUACCAAGGCAACGAUGCGUAGCCGACCUGAGAGGGUGAUCGGCCACACUGGAACUGAGACACGUUCCAGACUCCUACGGGAGGCAGCAGUAGGGAAUCUUCCGCAAUGGGCGAAAGCCUUACGGAGCAACGCCGCGUGAGUGAUGAAGGUCUUCGGAUCGUAAAACUCUGUUAUUAGGGAAGAACAAAUGUGUAAGUAACUAUGCACGUCUUGACGGUACCUAAUCAGAAAGCCACGGCUAACUACGUG